This 148-nucleotide ribosomal RNA is filed under the name uncultured Enterococcus sp. RNAcentral describes it as "partial 16S ribosomal RNA". It matches the Rfam family "Bacterial small subunit ribosomal RNA", at positions 351 to 491 of the family's 1533-position model. Lineage: Bacteria; Bacillati; Bacillota; Bacilli; Lactobacillales; Enterococcaceae. The record is from RNAcentral.
GCAGUAGGGAAUCUUCGGCAAUGGACGAAAGUCUGACCGAGCAACGCCGCGUGAGUGAAGAAGGUUUUCGGAUCGUAAAACUCUGUUGUUAGAGAAGAACAAGGACGUUAGUAACUGAACGUCCCCUGACGGUAUCUAACCAGAAAGC